GGCUAUGUUUGUUACCGUUUUCAAAUUCUUUCCACACUUUCCCCAAAAUGAAAAUUAUCUUUCUACACUAUUUUCAAAAACUUUCCCCAAAACAAAUUCAAAUAUUUCUCUCUCUAACAAACAUGAUUUGACCGCUACAGUGAAAAUUGUCUUCACUAAAAUACAAAAUCAAAUCACUUUAUCUUUUAAAUUCUUCUUCCAAAAUACUUUUUUCCAACACCUUUCAGACAUGAUUUGACUUGCUACAGUACAAAUUGUCUCCUCCCAAAACACAAACAAACUUUAUUUAAUUUUCAAAUUCUUCCCCGAAAGCAUCUUUCCCCAAAAUAAAAUGGAAAUGGAAGCCCAAAAGCUUACCAAACACAGCC
Molecule: long non-coding RNA, 368 nt
Filed under: Erythranthe guttata (spotted monkey flower)
Lineage: Eukaryota; Viridiplantae; Streptophyta; Magnoliopsida; Lamiales; Phrymaceae
Description: long non-coding RNA (EGUT_LNC000301)
Source: RNAcentral